Molecule: ribosomal RNA, 301 nt
Filed under: uncultured bacterium
Lineage: Bacteria
Description: partial 16S ribosomal RNA
Rfam family: Bacterial small subunit ribosomal RNA
Source: RNAcentral
CAGUAGCCGCGGUAAUGCGUAGGUCCCGAGCGUUGUCCGGAUUUAUUGGGCGUAAAGCGAGCGCAGGCGGUUAGAUAAGUCUGAUGUGAAAGCCCCCGGCUCAACCGGGGAGGGUCAUUGGAAACUGGGAAACUCGAGUGCAGAAGAGGAGAGUGGAAUUCCACGUGUAGCGGUGAAAUGCGUAGAGAUGUGGAGGAACACCAGUGGCGAAGGCGACUCUCUGGUCUGUAACUGACGCUGAGGAGCGAAAGCGUGGGGAGCGAACAGGAUUAGAUACCCGGGUAGUCCCUGUCUCUUAUAC